Small nuclear RNA from Sciurus carolinensis (gray squirrel), 106 nucleotides. The record is from RefSeq and is a predicted model, not a curated record. Lineage: Eukaryota; Metazoa; Chordata; Mammalia; Rodentia; Sciuridae.
GUGCUUUCUCUGUGGCACAUGUACUAAAACCCAAAUGAUACCAAGAAGAUGAGCAUAGCCUGUACACCCAGAUAAAACACAAAUACAUGAAGUACUCUACAUUUUU